This is a long non-coding RNA of Humulus lupulus (European hop), 818 nucleotides long. RefSeq lists it as uncharacterized. Lineage: Eukaryota; Viridiplantae; Streptophyta; Magnoliopsida; Rosales; Cannabaceae. The transcript is spliced from 2 exons. The record is from RefSeq and is a predicted model, not a curated record.
AACGCACACAAUACAUGCAUCUGAAAGUGUUACCUCUGAGUAGAACUGAAAAUCAGAACUUCCAGCAUCUAUGGCGACAGAAAUAGGUUGGUGAGCAGCUGCUUUCAGCAGAGCAUCCUCAUCGUUUUCGGGUACAUUCUCAUGGCCAUCAAUUGACACUGCGGCAGUGACAGCACCUUUCUUUCUCCAAUCAACCGAUGUGGGGACUUUCUCAACAUUCUCAUACAUGAACUUGCCAGUACCACGCUGCGACCCCCGGAACAUCCUGUGGUGCUUAAUCUUGGAGCCGGCGUAAGUGCUUUUGAACUCAUGAUUGGUCAUGUCUGCAAACUUGUUUAGUUUCAGUUUGUAAGGCUUGUCCUUCUUGUUAGUGUUGUGAACAUGCAUGACAUUAUCCUUAAACACAUUGAAACGCUUUGCCUUCUCACCAAGACUCCGAGACACCGUGUGAUGGCUUCUCCAUCUCUCGUACAGUUCCCACAAGCUAUCCUCGGUUUCCAACUCCUUCUCAUGGAAAUCAAAACUCUCCACAAUCCCAAGAACAAGAGCAAGUGAAACAGCAACCAAUAAAAACUUCUUCAUGUCUAAUAAUUGUGUAUUGAAUUUGAAUAUGGAAAUGUAGAGACCUUAUAGCUCCCUUUUAUAGAAGUACGAAUGAACACAGAAUAAGAAAUAAGAGCGUGGAAGAUCAAGAAAAAACAAAAUAAAAUAAAUGUAGAAGUUACAGGUUUCUUGUGGACAUCAACAACUUGCUGUAAUGAUAUAAAGAAAUGGUGUUUGAGCAUUUCCAAAUAAAGAUGAAUGUGUUUGGUUUUUUA